RNAcentral lists this ribosomal RNA (491 nucleotides) under uncultured bacterium. RNAcentral describes it as "partial 16S ribosomal RNA". It matches the Rfam family "Bacterial small subunit ribosomal RNA", at positions 29 to 507 of the family's 1533-position model. The record is from RNAcentral.
AGUGAACGCUGGCGGUAGGCCUAACACAUGCAAGUCGAACGGCAGCACAGUAAGAGCUUGCUCUUACGGGUGGCGAGUGGCGGACGGGUGAGGAAUACAUCGGAAUCUACUUUUUCGUGGGGGAUAACGUAGGGAAACUUACGCUAAUACCGCAUACUACCUACGGGUGAAAGCAGGGGAUCUUCGGACCUUGCGCGAUUGAAUGAGCCGAUGUCGGAUUAGCUAGUUGGCGGGGUAAAGGCCACCAAGGCGACGAUCCGUAGCCGGUCUGAGAGGAUGAUCCGCCACACUGGAACUGAGACACGGUCCAGACUCCUACGGGAGGCAGCAGUGGGGAAUAUUGGACAAUGGGCGCAAGCCUGAUCCAGCCAUACCGCGUGAGUGAAGAAGGCCUUCGGGUUGUAAAGCCCUUUUGUUGGGAAAGAAAAGCAGCAGGUUAAAACCCCGCUGUUCUGACGGUACCCAAAGAAAAAGCACCGGCUAACUUCGUG